UUUUGCUUUAGGGUCUAAUCCUACAGGC
RNAcentral lists this non-coding RNA (28 nucleotides) under Mus musculus (house mouse). The record is from RNAcentral. Lineage: Eukaryota; Metazoa; Chordata; Mammalia; Rodentia; Muridae.